This 146-nucleotide unclassified non-coding RNA is filed under the name soil metagenome. RNAcentral's name for it is "partial internal transcribed spacer 1". The record is from RNAcentral.
UAAUAAGUGUUUUAUGGCACUUUUUAAAUCCAUAUCCACCUUGUGUGCAAUGUCAGUCGAUCCUCUUCAUGGAGAUCGACCAAACAUCAACCUUUAUUUUUUUAACUCUUUGUCUGAAAAAUAUUAUGAAUAAACAAUUCAAAAUA